UUUGGGCGUGUCUCCCUUCUCGGGAGACUCUCUCGACCCCACGAACCCUUGACCUCAAAUCGGGUGUGACUACCCGCUGAACUUAAGCAUAUCAAUAAGCGGAGGA
RNAcentral lists this ribosomal RNA (106 nucleotides) under Lactarius quieticolor. RNAcentral's name for it is "partial 28S ribosomal RNA". The stretch from base 50 to 106 matches the Rfam family "Eukaryotic large subunit ribosomal RNA", at positions 1 to 57 of the family's 3401-position model. The record is from RNAcentral. Lineage: Eukaryota; Fungi; Basidiomycota; Agaricomycetes; Russulales; Russulaceae.